UGGGGAAUUUUGGACAAUGGGCGCAAGCCUGAUCCAGCCAUGCCGCGUGCGGGAAGAAGGCCUUCGGGUUGUAAACCGCUUUUGUCAGGGAAGAAAUCUUCUGAGUUAAUACCUCGGGAGGAUGACGGUACCUGAAGAAUAAGCACCGGCUAACUACGUGCCAGCAGCCGCGGUAAUACGUAGGGUNCAAGCGUUAAUCGGAAUUACUGGGCGUAAAGCGUGCGCAGGCGGUUUUGUAAGACAGAGGGUGAAAUCCCCGGGCUCAACCUGGGAACUGCCUUUGUGACUGCAAGGCUUGAGUGCGGCAGAGGGGGGAUGGAAUUCCGCGUGUAGCAGUGAAAUGCGUAGAUAUGCGGAGGAAACACCGAUGGCGAAGGCAAUCCCCCUGGGCCUGCACUGAC
RNAcentral lists this ribosomal RNA (401 nucleotides) under uncultured bacterium. RNAcentral describes it as "partial 16S ribosomal RNA". It matches the Rfam family "Bacterial small subunit ribosomal RNA", at positions 355 to 744 of the family's 1533-position model. The record is from RNAcentral.